AUACGGAGGGGCCGAGCGUUAAUCGGAAUUACUGGGCGUAAAGCGCGCGUAGGUGGUUCAAUCAGUCAGAUGUGAAAGCCCCGGGCUCAACCUGGGAACUGCAACUGAAACUGCUGAGCUAGAGUACGGUCGAGGGCAGUGGAAUUUCCGGUGUAGCGGUGAAAUGCGUAGAGAUCGGAAGGAACACCAGUGGCGAAGGCGACUGCCUGGACGGAUACUGACACUGAGGUGCGAAAGCGUGGGUAGAAAACAGGUUUAGAUACCCUGGUAGUCCACGCCGUAAACGAUGUCAACUAGCCGUUGGGGGACUUGAUCCUUUAGUGGCGAAGCUAACGCGAUAAGUUGACCGCCUGGGGAGUACGGCCGCAAGGUUAAAACUCAAAUGAAUUGACGGGG
RNAcentral lists this ribosomal RNA (396 nucleotides) under uncultured bacterium. RNAcentral describes it as "partial 16S ribosomal RNA". It matches the Rfam family "Bacterial small subunit ribosomal RNA", at positions 523 to 918 of the family's 1533-position model. The record is from RNAcentral.